Molecule: non-coding RNA, 24 nt
Filed under: Mus musculus (house mouse)
Lineage: Eukaryota; Metazoa; Chordata; Mammalia; Rodentia; Muridae
Source: RNAcentral
UGAGCCUGGGUUGGAAAGUGGUGA